GCCUGGGGGGCUCAGUUGGUUGAGCGUCUGACUUCGGCUCAGGUCACGAUUCACAGUCUGUGGGUUCGAGCCCCGCGUCGGGCU
Molecule: transfer RNA, 84 nt
Filed under: Felis catus (domestic cat)
Lineage: Eukaryota; Metazoa; Chordata; Mammalia; Carnivora; Felidae
Rfam family: tRNA
About the family: Transfer RNA (tRNA) molecules are approximately 80 nucleotides in length. Their secondary structure includes four short double-helical elements and three loops (D, anti-codon, and T loops). Further hydrogen bonds mediate the characteristic L-shaped molecular structure. tRNAs have two regions of fundamental functional importance: the anti-codon, which is responsible for specific mRNA codon recognition, and the 3' end, to which the tRNAs corresponding amino acid is attached (by aminoacyl-tRNA synthetases). tRNAs cope with the degeneracy of the genetic code in two manners: having more than one tRNA (with a specific anti-codon) for a particular amino acid; and 'wobble' base-pairing, i.e. permitting non-standard base-pairing at the 3rd anti-codon position.
Source: Rfam by way of RNAcentral